RNAcentral lists this ribosomal RNA (554 nucleotides) under uncultured bacterium. RNAcentral's name for it is "bacterial SSU rRNA". It matches the Rfam family "Archaeal small subunit ribosomal RNA", at positions 726 to 1275 of the family's 1478-position model. The record is from RNAcentral.
AGUCAAUAGAUACCCAGGUAGUCCUAGCCGUAAACGAUACUCGCUAGGUGUCGGCCACGGUGCGACCGUUGUCGGUGCCGUAGGGAAAGCCGUGAAGCGAGCCACCUGGGAAGUACGGCCGCAAGGCUGAAACUUAAAGGAAUUGGCGGGGGAGCACCACAACGGGUGGAGCUUGCGGUUUAAAUUGGAUUCAACGCCGGAAAUCUUACCGGGACCGACAGCAAUAUGAAGGCCAGGCUGAAGACUUUGCCGGAUUAGCUGAGAGGUGGUGCAUGGCCGUCGUCAGUUCGUACUGUGAAGCAUCCUGUUAAGUCAGGCAACGAGCGAGACCCACGCCCACAGUUGCCAGCGUACUCUCUGGAGUGACGGGUACACUGUGGGGACCGCCGCUGCUAAAGCGGAGGAAGGAAUGGGCAACGGUAGGUCAGUAUGCCCCGAAUAUCCCGAGCUACACGCGAGCUACAAUGGUUGGUACAAUGGGUAUCUACCCCGAAAGGGUACGGGAAUCUCCUAAAACCAAUCUUAGUUCGGAUUGAGGGCUGCAACUCGCCCUC